GUCUUUGCCAGGCUGGGAGGAGUGGUGCAAGAGCAGCAACAUGUCGACCACAGAGGGAAACCCCGGGACUUUCGUGGGGAGCACCGUCCCCCAGCAGACAUGAGGGGCGACCUGCGGGCGGAGAUCCAUGGAGAUAUGCGAGGCAGACGGGUGCAAGAGGUGGCCGAGGAGGAGGAGAAGAUGCCUAAGCCAUCUCUGCCCUCGUCUGUGGCUCGCCCUCAAGCAGACAUGAAGUCC
RNAcentral lists this long non-coding RNA (237 nucleotides) under Penaeus japonicus. RNAcentral's name for it is "uncharacterized LOC122264859". Lineage: Eukaryota; Metazoa; Arthropoda; Malacostraca; Decapoda; Penaeidae. The record is from RNAcentral.